UACGGAAGGCAGCAGUGGGGAAUAUUGCACAAUGGGCGCAAGCCUGAUGCAGCCAUGCCGCGUGUAUGAAGAAGGCCUUCGGGUUGUAAAGUACUUUCAGUCGUGAGGAAGGUGUUAAGGUUAAUAACCUUAGCAAUUGACGUUAGCGACAGAAGAAGCACCGGCUAACUCCGUGCCAGCAGCCGCGGUAAUACGGAGGGUGCGAGCGUUAAUCGGAAUUACUGGGCGUAAAGGGCACGCAGGCGGUUAAUUAAGUUGGAUGUGAAAUCCCCGGGCUUAACCUGGGAAUGGCAUUCAAGACUGGUUAGCUAGAGUCUUGUAGAGGGGGUAGAAUUCCAUGUGUAGCGGUGAAAUGCGUAGAGAUGUGGAGGAAUACCGGCGGCGAAGGCGGCCCCUGGACAAAGACUGACGCUCAUGUGCGAAAGCGUGGGGAGCAAACAGGGAUUAGAUACC
RNAcentral lists this ribosomal RNA (453 nucleotides) under uncultured bacterium. Its description in RNAcentral is "bacterial SSU rRNA". It matches the Rfam family "Bacterial small subunit ribosomal RNA", at positions 340 to 786 of the family's 1533-position model. The record is from RNAcentral.